AUUCAUGACUGGUGUUAAGUCGGAACAAGGUAACCGUAGGGGAACCUGCGGUUGGAUCACCUCCUUACCUUAAAGAA
Molecule: ribosomal RNA, 77 nt
Filed under: Salmonella enterica subsp. enterica serovar Enteritidis
Lineage: Bacteria; Pseudomonadati; Pseudomonadota; Gammaproteobacteria; Enterobacterales; Enterobacteriaceae
Description: partial 16S ribosomal RNA
Rfam family: Bacterial small subunit ribosomal RNA (bases 1-67)
Source: RNAcentral